Molecule: ribosomal RNA, 1077 nt
Filed under: Staphylococcus aureus H50411
Lineage: Bacteria; Bacillati; Bacillota; Bacilli; Caryophanales; Staphylococcaceae
Also listed under: 1 other name
Description: bacterial SSU rRNA
Rfam family: Bacterial small subunit ribosomal RNA
Source: RNAcentral
AGAGUUUGAUCCUGGCUCAGGAUGAACGCUGGCGGCGUGCCUAAUACAUGCAAGUCGAGCGAACGGACGAGAAGCUUGCUUCUCUGAUGUUAGCGGCGGACGGGUGAGUAACACGUGGAUAACCUACCUAUAAGACUGGGAUAACUUCGGGAAACCGGAGCUAAUACCGGAUAAUAUUUUGAACCGCAUGGUUCAAAAGUGAAAGACGGUCUUGCUGUCACUUAUAGAUGGAUCCGCGCUGCAUUAGCUAGUUGGUAAGGUAACGGCUUACCAAGGCAACGAUGCAUAGCCGACCUGAGAGGGUGAUCGGCCACACUGGAACUGAGACACGGUCCAGACUCCUACGGGAGGCAGCAGUAGGGAAUCUUCCGCAAUGGGCGAAAGCCUGACGGAGCAACGCCGCGUGAGUGAUGAAGGUCUUCGGAUCGUAAAACUCUGUUAUUAGGGAAGAACAUAUGUGUAAGUAACUGUGCACAUCUUGACGGUACCUAAUCAGAAAGCCACGGCUAACUACGUGCCAGCAGCCGCGGUAAUACGUAGGUGGCAAGCGUUAUCCGGAAUUAUUGGGCGUAAAGCGCGCGUAGGCGGUUUUUUAAGUCUGAUGUGAAAGCCCACGGCUCAACCGUGGAGGGUCAUUGGAAACUGGAAAACUUGAGUGCAGAAGAGGAAAGUGGAAUUCCAUGUGUAGCGGUGAAAUGCGCAGAGAUAUGGAGGAACACCAGUGGCGAAGGCGACUUUCUGGUCUGUAACUGACGCUGAUGUGCGAAAGCGUGGGGAUCAAACAGGAUUAGAUACCCUGGUAGUCCACGCCGUAAACGAUGAGUGCUAAGUGUUAGGGGGUUUCCGCCCCUUAGUGCUGCAGCUAACGCAUUAAGCACUCCGCCUGGGGAGUACGACCGCAAGGUUGAAACUCAAAGGAAUUGACGGGGACCCGCACAAGCGGUGGAGCAUGUGGUUUAAUUCGAAGCAACGCGAAGAACCUUACCAAAUCUUGACAUCCUUUGACAACUCUAGAGAUAGAGCUUUCCCCUUCGGGGGACAAAGUGACAGGUGGUGCAUGGUUGUCGUCAGCUCGUG